Gallus gallus (chicken) is the source of this 2307-nucleotide long non-coding RNA. RefSeq lists it as uncharacterized. NCBI's taxonomy places the organism in Eukaryota, Metazoa, Chordata, Aves, Galliformes, Phasianidae. The transcript is spliced from 4 exons. The record is from RefSeq and is a predicted model, not a curated record.
GAGUUCCAAGGAGUUCUGGCAAAGCAUGUUGAAGUCUGAGAGUCAAACUCUGCAUGCUUUCUUAACAGCUACAGGAAUUAUACCAUCAUGGUUGGCUCUGCUUCACUUGGCAUUGAGAAGCCAAGAUUACUGCCAAAAAUAAGAUGACACAAAUACAGCACUGUCUCCUCCCUACCUAGGUCUUGGAUCACGAAGCAUGGCAGCAUUUAUGUUCCAGGAUAGUACUUGAAGAACACGCUUCACAGGGACACAGGCAUUCCUUAGGCUAAUGCAAGCAUCUGGAAGAAAGCCCAUCUUCAGAAACACAACUCAUCUGAUCUUUGAGAGUCCCUGUGAUAGAGACAUACCACAUGCAAUGGUGGAGGACAAUUCAAAAGCAGAUAUGCAAAUGUUCACACAGUUUCCUUGAAGGCGGUUAAGAUACCUAUCUAUAAAGCCAAGAAGUGACUGUGAGGUUGAGCCAUCAGUGCCAGCUCCCAAAGAGAAAACGUGCCAAGAGGAAAUUCAGCAGAAAUAUGGUGUACCAUGUUCAUAUGAAAGCAAAUCAGAAAUAAAUCUUGUUGCUUUUAAAGGUGGCAAUGUAUCCUUUGUAUCUAGAAAAGAUAUUUUGCUCAGGAGCGUUCUCUGAGCUAUAAAAGUUGGAGUGGAAAAAUUGAGUUUUGAAUGAUGAUUUUGGAAUUAUUCUUAUCUUGAAGCUGUAAAAUGGAAUAAUAUGAUUAAGGCACAUGUGACUCAUACAGCUCAUAGGGUAUAUAAGUUAGAAGGAAACUAGUAUGCUGAAGCAAGAAAAUAAAUAGAAUCUCGUUCGAUUGGGAAGGGUCCUCAAAGAUCAUCUAGUCCAACUCCCCUGCAGUGAACAGGGGCAUAGGCAGCUAGAAGAGAUUGCUCAGAGCCUGGCCCCUCCACAUGGAUAGGCCCCACCUCAUAUCAAGUCACUUGGGACCCCAUUGGCUGCCUCAGGGUAGCAUCGUUUUUUCCAGCCUCUUCUCCAUAUUAGGGUAGAAGAAUGGUCCCAGCACCUCAUGCAGGGACAGCACUUCUAUGGACACACUUGGUUCAGAGUUUCAUGCAAAAUUUCUUUGAACUAGAUUAGAAUUAGAUAAAUAGUGCUUUCUAUUCCUGAACAGCCAUUGUGCACCAAAUAUUUGUGAAGCAGAUUCAGCAGAAAGCAGUAACAAAGCUGUUGCUUGUGCUGGCAUAGUGAAAACUAUUUACAAUUUGCUUUCUUGCAUCCCAUGAAGCCAAAAUACCCUACAAUGACUCUCUGGUACAAGAUGGACAGACUGUGAUAAUGAACAGCAGAUGAGGAUAUUUGUGGACAAAGUGGAUCAAGAAUCAGUCAUCACGCAGCAAUUGGUUUCACACAUCGUUUCACUUUCAGUGAAUUCUAUUGUGUUCAGGCCAUGUUAGCGACAAAGAAUGUCAGUGCGUCUGAAAGAAAACCAUGCCAAUCCAACUUCAAUCCUGCUCAGCACAGCAAUACGUAUGUUUGAGAGAACCAAUUUUAUUUUAGAUAUGAAGUGUGUUUAUGCAUUAAUAUCAUAUUUUUGUAGUCACAUCUGCAAAAUUUAAAACAAAUUUGAGUGAAACAUCUCAGAAAAUUAAGCAUAUAAACAUCUGCAGGACUAAAAAAUGCUACAAAAACAUGUACUUAAUAUGAACAGGAUGAUUGAUAUGCAAAACAGUUUAAAUGUUAUAAAGUCCAGGUCCAGUUUUCUGGCUUCGUUCAGCUUUGAAAUAAACAAAAAUGUACAGGUGUGCUCUAGCUUUUCUCAGUGACACAGAAACUAGGAAUGGAUUCAGCAUUUAUCACCAUUUAUAGGUCUCCACCCAUAUGCAGUGAAUGGCUCAUACCUUGGGAACUUUGAAUGAUGUAGUUCAGGAUGUGGCUUCUGGAUUGGGAUCCAUUUUUGGCUACUAAUCUUCAUGAAAUAUAUGCAAAAUCCUUAUCAUUUUAAAGCUUGUCUUACCAAGAUUGCUGUGGUAGUGAGUGAGGUUCUCAUUCCAUAUGAACUUAUCCCAAAAAAUGUCAUUGACUGGAUCACAGGUUGGUGCUUAGCAGGAAGAAAGCCAGACUAUUUAAUGUUAAAUUCCUGUAUUGAUCUAAAAAACUUGAUUGUUCAGUUUGUUUCUUUCAACAUGUAAUUUGAUUGUAUAAGAAAGAGGUGCCUUUCGUAGAUAUAUGGGCCACAACAAAAGCACAAGCAGACAAAAAGUGUAUAUCAGAAGUGGAUUUUUUACAAGGAUUUUCAACAAACUGCUGUUUCUGUUUAUCUGAUUCCUAAAAAGUUUUAAAUAAGUUAAAAA